RNAcentral lists this ribosomal RNA (173 nucleotides) under uncultured bacterium. Its description in RNAcentral is "partial 16S ribosomal RNA". It matches the Rfam family "Bacterial small subunit ribosomal RNA", at positions 334 to 524 of the family's 1533-position model. The record is from RNAcentral.
UACUCCUACGGGAGGCAGCAGUGGGGAAUAUUGCACAAUGGGCGAAAGCCUGAUGCAGCAACGCCGCGUGAGCGAUGAAGGCCUUCGGGUCGUAAAGCUCUGUCCUCAAGGAAGAUAAUGACGGUACUCGAGGAGGAAGCCCCGGCUAACUACGUGCCAGCAGCCGCGGUAAU